GCGUGGGUGAUGAAGGCCUUCGGGUUGUAAAGCCCUUUCGGCGGGGACGAUGAUGACGGUACCCGCAGAAGAAGCCCCGGCUAACUUCGUGCCAGCAGCCGCGGUAAUACGAAGGGGGCUAGCGUUGUUCGGAAUUACUGGGCGUAAAGGGCGCGUAGGCGGCUCUGUGCGUCGUGCGUGAAAGGCCUGGGCUCAACCCGGGAAUGGCGCUCGAUACGACGGAGCUAGAGUGCAGGAGAGGAUGGUGGAAUUCCCAGUGUAGAGGUGAAAUUCGU
Molecule: ribosomal RNA, 275 nt
Filed under: uncultured bacterium
Lineage: Bacteria
Description: partial 16S ribosomal RNA
Rfam family: Bacterial small subunit ribosomal RNA
Source: RNAcentral